Molecule: microRNA precursor, 76 nt
Filed under: Jaculus jaculus (lesser Egyptian jerboa)
Lineage: Eukaryota; Metazoa; Chordata; Mammalia; Rodentia; Dipodidae
Description: miRNA (ENSJJAG00000002938.1)
Source: RNAcentral
UGCUGAGCCAUCUCUCCAGCCCUUUAAAUGUAAUUUAAAAAAUGUAUUUGAGGGCCUGGAGAGAUGGCUCAGCAGU